CCGAGUUAGGGUCUCACCGGCCCGAUCUCCCAACCCUUUGUCUACUUGACCAUCGUUGCUUCGGCGAGCCCGUCCUCACGGACCGCCGGGGGGUCUCCGUACCCCUUGGCCCGCUGCUCGUCGAUAGCCCCCCAAUUUAAAAAAUCUUAACUAAACGUGUCUUGAAUCUAAGUAUUAUUGUUAAAUAAAAACA
Molecule: unclassified non-coding RNA, 193 nt
Filed under: uncultured Exophiala
Lineage: Eukaryota; Fungi; Ascomycota; Eurotiomycetes; Chaetothyriales; Herpotrichiellaceae
Description: sequence contains ITS1
Source: RNAcentral